Molecule: ribosomal RNA, 3486 nt
Filed under: Paracuaria soricis
Lineage: Eukaryota; Metazoa; Nematoda; Chromadorea; Rhabditida; Acuariidae
Description: partial large subunit ribosomal RNA
Rfam family: Eukaryotic large subunit ribosomal RNA
Source: RNAcentral
CGAGGAUUCUCCCAGUAACGGCGAGUGAACGGAGAGAAGCCCAGCGCUGAAUCAUUUGGUCACAGUGAUCAAAUUGAAAUGUAGCGUAUAGGUGUAACUGUCCCAUUGUUUUGUGCACUCAAAGUCCCCUUGAGCGGGGCCACAGUCCACAGAAGGUGCUAGACCUGUACGGGUGACGAAGCAUUGGGUUAGUUGCUCCUUGGAGUCGAGUUGCCUGAGAUCGCAGCUCAAAGUGGGUGGUAAACCUCAUCUAAGGCUAAAUAUGGCCACGAGACCGAUAGCAAACAAGUACCGUGAGGGAAAGUUGAAAAGAACUCUGAGAAGAGAGUUAAAGGAGGACGUGAAACCGCUGGGAUGGAAACGAAUAGAGUUGACGAAACCAACCGUCAUUCAACCGAUCAGCUUAGCGGUCUCAUUACUAGUGUACCACCAGAUGUGAGUGUCUUGUGCAUUUCAUCGAUGGACAUUAGUAGGAGGUGCUGUUGAGUAGUUUUAAAAAAUACCUAUGUGAUCGGUGCAUUUGAUGGUGGUACGCGCCGAGAGCCGCGUUGAUUUGUAUGACAAAACUAAUGGUAGUGGACCGAGUAAUUUUUUACUCGGAAACCUACCAAUAGUGGAGGUAUAUCAUUGAUGCGGUUGCAAUAGCAAUUUUCGCCGUAUGGUGCGUUACAUAUGUGCACAAUUUAUACUUGCAUAAAAUGAUCGCUUGCGUAUCGUUUAUGUGUAAUUUAGUAUUGAAUUAUGUGAUAUGUAUUUGACGCGUUAAAAUUGCAUCUCGGUGUGAGCGUCGAUCACCUAUUCGACCCGUCUUGAAACACGGACCAAGGAGUCUAGCAUAUGCGCAAGUUAUUGGGUGGUAAACCUAAAAAACGCAAUGAAAGUGAAAAUCGUCUCGAUACGAUUGGAUAUGUGAGCCAUGUAUGUUUUUUUCUAAUUUUUGGAAAAAACAUUAACAUGGUGCAACAUAGCCCCGUCCCCGUUGCUUGCAAUAGGGCGGAGGUAGAGCGCAUACGCUGGGACCCGAAAGAUGGUGAACUAUGCCUGAGCAGGAUGAAGCCAGAGGAAACUCUGGUGGAGGUCCGAAGCGAUUCUGACGUGCAAAUCGAUCGUCUGACUUUGGUAUAGGGGCGAAAGACUAAUCGAACUAUCUAGUAGCUGGUUCCCUCUGAAGUUUCCCCCAGGAUAGCUGGAGCACAUAAAAGAGCAGUUAUAUUCGGUAAAGCGAAUGAUUAGACGCAUUGGGGACGAAACGUCCUCAACCUAUUCUCAAACUUUCAAUGGGUAGGAAGUUUCGCUUUCUUAAAAAUGAAAAUGAAGCGUAAACAUUGAAUGCGUGCUCCAAGUGGGCCAUUUUUGGUAAGCAGAACUGGCGCUGUGGGAUGAACCAAACGUCGAGAUAAAGUGCCAAACUUUCCGCUCAUGAGACCCCAUGAAAGGCGUUGGUUGAUAUAGACAGCAGGACGGUGGCCAUGGAAGUCGGAAACCGCUAAGGAGUGUGUAACAACUCACCUGCCGAAUCAACUAGCCCUGAAAAUGGAUGGCGCUUGAGCGGGAGACUUAUACUCGACCGUUGCUUGGCUUGUGUACAUGGGUGAUGUGAUGAUGUGUGUGUGUGUGUGUUAUCAUCAUGUUUAUGUUGUUAACAACAACAACACUCAAGAGAAUGCAUAAGUUACCUGGCCGCAACGAGUAAGAGGGUCGCAGUGGUUAGCGCUGAAGACUUUGGGCGUAGGCCCAGUCGGAGCUUCCACUGGUGCAGAUCUUGGUGGUAGUAGCAAAUAUUCAAGUGAGAUCCUUGAAGACUGAAGUGGAGAAGGGUUCCUCGUGAACAGCAGUUGGAUGCGGGUCAGUCGAUCCUAAGAUAUUGGCUAAUGCCAUUUGUUAAAUGAGAGACGGAGAUCAAAUCCAUCUCGGCAAUCGAAAGGGAAACGGGUUUAUAUUCCCGUACCUGGACACGGAGAUUAAAUAUCCAUUGCGGAUAUUUAGCGCGGUAACGCAAACGAACUCGGAGACGUUGAGUAGAGCCCGAGCCAGAGUUCUCUUUUCUGGUUAAGGAACGGACUCCCUGGAAGCGGUUCAGCCGGCGAUAGGGACGUUGUUUCCGUAAAGCGCCACGGUUCCUGUGGCGUCUCGUGCACUCUGCUCGACCCAUGAAAAUCCGAGGGAGGCAAUUUGAAUUUCGUGCCAGAUCGUACCGAUAUCCGCAGCAGGUCUCCAAGGUGAACAGCCUCUAGUCGAUAGAAUAAUGUAGGUAAGGGAAGUCGGCAAAUUAGAUCCGUAACUUCGGGAAAAGGAUUGGCUCUAAGGACUGGGUCGGUCGGGCUGCAGCGUGAAGUGAGUGCGGUUUGAUCCGUGCAGUGCUAACGCUAUAUGGUUGUUCGCAAAAUCUCUUGGAACUUUGAGUACAAAAUUUGCCCAAGUUGAGAGUGCAUUUUUGACUUUAAUCGGUCUUGAGUGUAUUUUAAUUUGGGAGUGAAUUUUGUAUGAUUGAGUGAAAAGUGAUGUGUCAAUCAGAAAAGUGUUUGGUUCGGCUAGUGUUUGAACUGUCUUAUGGACCGCUACAGCUGUGCAUUGGUUAACUUUACAGUUACCAGUGCUUCGUCCGGCGCUAAACAGUCAGCUUAGAACUGGCACGGACUCGGGGAAUCCGACUGUCUAAUUAAAACAGAGGAGACAGAUGGUCCUUGCGGGCGUUGACUGUCUCUGAUUUCUGCCCAGUGCUCUGAAUGUAAAAGUGAAGAAAUUCAACCAAGCGCGGGUAAACGGCGGGAGUAACUAUGACUCUCUUAAGGUAGCCAAAUGCCUCGUCGGAUAACUACCGACGCGCAUGAAUGGAUUAUCGAGAUUCCCACUGUCCCUAUCUACUAUCUAGCGAAAUCACAGCCAAGGGAACGGGCUUGGCAAACACAGCGGGGAAAGAAGACCCUGUUGAGCUUGACUCUAGUCCGACUCUGUGAAGAGUCAUGAGAGGUGUAGCAUAAGUGGGAGGUUUUAUCGAGUAAAAUUGAUAAACCAUCAGUGAAAUACCACUACUUUCAUCGAUUCUUUACUUAUUCGGUAAGACGGGAAUUGAACCAAGACGGUUCUUGAUUCUGGUAUAAAGUGUAGCCGCUUGGUGGCAGCACGACUCGCGCCGAAGACAGUGUCAGGCGGGGAGUUUGACUGGGGCGGUACAUCUGUCAAAAGGUAACGCAGGUGUCCUAAGGCUAGCUCAGAGAGGACGGAAACCUCUCGUAGAGUAAAAGGGCAAAAGCUCGCUUGAUCUUGAUUUCCAGUACGAAUACAGACCGCGAAAGCGUGGCCUAUCGAUCCUUUUGAAUUAGAAGGUCUCUAGCAAGAGGUGUCAGAAAAGUUACCACAGGGAUAACUGGCUUGUGGCAGCCAAGCGUCCAUAGCGACGUUGCUUUUUGAUCCUUCGAUGUCGGCUCUUCCUAUCAUUGCGAAGCAGAAUUCGCCAAGCGUUGGAUUGUUCACCCACCAAUAGGG